This is a long non-coding RNA of Alosa alosa (allis shad), 2721 nucleotides long. RefSeq lists it as uncharacterized. The transcript has 2 exons. The record is from RefSeq and is a predicted model, not a curated record. NCBI's taxonomy places the organism in Eukaryota, Metazoa, Chordata, Actinopteri, Clupeiformes, Clupeidae.
UCUCUCUCUUUUCCUCCCCUUGACUGGAUGGGUUGAGGUGUGUGUGUGUGUGUGUGUGGAAGGCGGAGGUGACGGUGGUGGAAGACACUUACUCAGUGUGUGGGUGUUGUCUUCACCUCUUUCUCUUCUUCCCUCCAUCCCUCCCUCUCUCUCUUCCUCUUCUCUGAUCCUCAGAGACAGGCUCUCUUCUUCCUCCUCCUACUCCUGCCUGUGCCACAUGCACUGUUUCUUCUUCUUUGUUAUUGUCGGCCUCCAUUGCCUCCAGCUGAAAGGACAUAUCUCGCUUUAUUCAAAAAUACUUGAAAAUUAUGCGAAUGUAUAUGUUUGUGUUUCUCCUCCCAAAGAUGAACGUUUUUUUUUUUUUUUUUUUUUUUUGUGAGACUGUCAGAUAAAAAAAAAUGGUGGAUCUGGAGGGGAUUCACUGAAGCCUUUUUGCUCUCGACACCCACAUGUGAACACUGUUCAGGCAAGCAUCUGGUGUCUGAUGGCUGUGAUAUGGGACAUGAGUGACAUUAAUACUUAUGACAAAGAGAGCGAGAGAGAUAGAGAGAGAGAGAGACUACAGGACAUACCUACUGCUACGUUGGCUCUCCACAAAGCUCUCGUGGCAUAAGAUCUCUCUAGCCGACUUUCGAAGCAGGAUGUGAGACUGUUGGCCUAUCUCUCAGCUUCCUGUGUGCUUGAUGGGUGCAUUUUGGUGGCACAUGUUGUGUCGCUCCCAAAGCAGUCUUGUCAUUUAGAAGAGGGAAAAAAAAAAACCUCUGGGCUCAGAGCAAUCCUACAAGUAUGAUAACUGGAUACCAUACUAUCAUACUCACUGAAAAAGGGAAUACACUGUUACACUGUCUGCACGCUGAAUAUGAACAUGAACGUGUGUAUGCUACAGUGUAUGCAGAUCAGUGUGUGUGUGUGUGUACGAGAGAGAGAGCGUGUGUAUGUGUGUGUCUGUGUGCGUGCUCGCUCAUGGCGCAUCACACAACAAAGAGUGUGUGUGUGUGUGUUGUGCUGCGAUACGCAUAUGGUCCCCCUCCAAUGGCUUCAGCUGUAGAGCAUGGAGGGAUGGCUGUCUCGGAGGGCCAAUCCUGGGCCUCCCUCUCCACUCCUUAGGACCCUCCUGGAGGAGCUCAUGACAGCACUGAUGUCAACAACACCACCACCAACACCACCAACAGCCAUCCCAGACAACAUCAACUUAAAAGAUGGAUCAUGCCAGACACACUUGUGGCGUCUGUUGAAGACGGGUUCACACUAGUUACCUUAGUGUACGCAGACCUGUUCCAAAGAAAGAGGAGGAUUUAAGAGGAACCUCCUGAGGACAUGAGCUUGACUCUGUGGAGUGCAGUGCUGUCAGUACUGCGUCUGUACUGUGUUUGUUCAUUCUGACACUCACAACCGUAUGUCAAUCGUUAAAAAAAAAAAAAAAAAAAAAAAAAAAAAAAAAAAUGGACAAUCACUGUAUCUGUAUUUGCUUUGAUUUGCUGAAAUGUAUGAUGUACUACAUCCUGAUGUAAGAUGAAUGUAUCAUAUGUCAGGGGGGAAAAAACACUUAAAAACAACCAAAAGGAGAAAAAAAACUCAAUAGAACAUGGCACUGUAUGAGAAGGCACCAUCUGUGAUAGUACUCCAGCUUCUCAAAGCUGUAAAGUAAUGUAGAUUGUGCCUUGGACGUUGUGCUGAAGAAUGCUUCACAAUAGAAUUGUUCUCCACCGGUGCCAAAACUAUGAAAACAAAGUCAUUCAAAUGGUUUAGUUCUUCCAUGUUCAUUGUGUUGCAGUAUUGUUUUUUUCCCCCCUUUCCUGUGUCUCCAAACCCAAAAAUGAUUUCUCAACUCCCUCCCUGUAGAGAGGAGCGCUAUAUUUUGUGUGAUUGUUGUAUUUCUGCUUUAUGUAACAUUUCUCUCUGUCGCAUCUGAAGCAAGGGCGAGGACCAGCUCAGUGCUUCUUUAAUUCUGUGCUGGUUAAGCUUAGGCUUAUGUUCAGUGAUGCCUGUUGACCUGAAACCAAUGCUGUAUUGUAAAUCUCUGAAUCUUGCCUCAAUUUUUUUUCAACACUGUUCUUAUCUUUGCGUUUUGGCAGCCACAGAUAGGCCAUGCUCCACUGGGUAGCUUUUUUUUCUUUCUUUCUUACUUGCAAAACAAUUCAAGGCAAAGCUCUGCACAUUUGAGGAUGUCUUCUCUGUCACAAGUGACAUUUAUAUUUAGUCUUACAAAGAUGUUUCUAAGGUAAUAGUCUGCACUGUCGGUUUGUUGCUUGGCGGUGUAAAACUUUGAGGUGACUGCAACCAAAACCAUCACAUUUUCUAGUUCUUAUGAUGCAGCAAAGUCAACGAGCAGCUCAUCACCAUGACUACAAUUCAGAAGUGCCAAAACAAUCCCUCUCCUUUAUCUCCUCAAUGUGACAUGUUAAAAGUGAGAUCUGUCCCCAAUGGGUUAUGAUGGAAGACUUGACAUUGUAUUGCGUGCGUGUGGGUGGGCGGCUUUUAUCCUUACCCCUGAGCUUGAUCUUCAGGUCUGGAAGUAGUCCUCAUGUGUUUGCACUGCGUGUAUCAUUGCAAUAGUCCAGUUAUUACGGUGGACAGAGACAGAGUGGCUGUAUGCUGACUGACUGGCCAGUCGGUCGGCUCUGUGUGUCUGUCAGUGGUCUGGCGUAUCAUCCUGGAGGAACUGUCACAUUACAUCUCAACAACAAUAAAAACAGACUUUUCCUGUCUUUUAUACUCUCA